This 437-nucleotide ribosomal RNA is filed under the name uncultured Oscillospiraceae bacterium. Its description in RNAcentral is "bacterial SSU rRNA". It matches the Rfam family "Bacterial small subunit ribosomal RNA", at positions 341 to 792 of the family's 1533-position model. The record is from RNAcentral. Lineage: Bacteria; Bacillati; Bacillota; Clostridia; Eubacteriales; Oscillospiraceae.
ACGGGAGGCAGCAGUGGGGAAUAUUGGGCAAUGGGCGAAAGCCUGACCCAGCAACGCCGCGUGAAGGAAGAAGGCCUUCGGGUUGUAAACUUCUUUUACCAGGGACGAAGGACGUGACGGUACCUGGAGAAAAAGCAACGGCUAACUACGUGCCAGCAGCCGCGGUAAUACGUAGGUUGCAAGCGUUGUCCGGAUUUACUGGGUGUAAAGGGCGUGUAGGCGGAGCUGCAAGUCAGAUGUGAAAUCCCGGGGCUCAACCCCGGAACUGCAUUUGAAACUGUGUCUCUUGAGUGCUGGAGAGGUAGAUGGAAUUCCUAGUGUAGCGGUGAAAUGCGUAGAUAUUAGGAAGAACACCAGUGGCGAAGGCGAUCUACUGGACAGUAACUGACGCUGAGGCGCGAAAGCGUGGGGAGCAAACAGGAUUAGAUACCCUGGUA